This 148-nucleotide transfer RNA is filed under the name Variovorax boronicumulans. Its description in RNAcentral is "tRNA-Lys". The stretch from base 83 to 145 matches the Rfam family "tRNA". Lineage: Bacteria; Pseudomonadati; Pseudomonadota; Betaproteobacteria; Burkholderiales; Comamonadaceae. The record is from RNAcentral.
AGUUGCAGUAGUCCGGUGGAAGCCGCACCGGGGCAGACCCCUGACGCUUGAUCACGGGUCUACCUGAAUUUCCAAGACCAUGGGUCCGUGAUCUUCCAGCGGACUUUUAAUCCGUUGGUCACUGGUUCGAAUCCAGUACGUCCUACCA